Molecule: ribosomal RNA, 253 nt
Filed under: uncultured bacterium
Lineage: Bacteria
Description: partial 16S ribosomal RNA
Rfam family: Bacterial small subunit ribosomal RNA
Source: RNAcentral
UACGUAGGGGGCAAGCGUUGUCCGGAUUUAUUGGGCGUAAAGAGCGUGUAGGCGGCUUGGUAGGUCCGCUGUGAAAACUCGAGGCUCAACCUCGAGAUGUCGGCGGAAACCACUUGGCUAGAGUCCGGAAGAGGAGAGUGGAAUUCCCGGUGUAGCGGUGAAAUGCGUAGAUAUUGGGAAGAACAUCGGUGGCGAAAGCGCCUUGCUGGGUCUGCACUGACACUGAGGGACGAAAGCUAGGGGAGCGAAAGGG